RNAcentral lists this ribosomal RNA (506 nucleotides) under uncultured bacterium. RNAcentral describes it as "partial 16S ribosomal RNA". It matches the Rfam family "Bacterial small subunit ribosomal RNA", at positions 29 to 523 of the family's 1533-position model. The record is from RNAcentral.
AGUGAACGCUGGCGGUAGGCCUAACACAUGCAAGUCGAACGGCAGCACAGGAGAGCUUGCUCUCUGGGUGGCGAGUGGCGGACGGGUGAGGAAUACAUCGGAAUCUACUCUGUCGUGGGGGAUAACGUAGGGAAACUUACGCUAAUACCGCAUACGACCUACGGGUGAAAGCAGGGGAUCUUCGGACCUUGCGCGAUUGAAUGAGCCGAUGUCGGAUUAGCUAGUUGGCGGGGUAAAGGCCCACCAAGGCGACGAUCCGUAGCUGGUCUGAGAGGAUGAUCAGCCACACUGGAACUGAGAAACGGUCCAGACUCCUACGGGAGGCAGCAGUGGGGAAUAUUGGACAAUGGGCGCAAGCCUGAUUCAGCCAUACCGCGUGGGUGAAGAAGGCCUUCGGGUUGUAAAGCCCUUUUGUUGGGAAAGAAGUCCAGCUGGCUAAUACCCGGUUGGGAUGACGGUACCCAAAGAAUAAGCACCGGCUAACUUCGUGCCAGCCGCCGCCGUAA